CCUACGGGAGGCAGCAGUGGGGAAUAUUGCACAAUGGGGGAAACCCUGAUGCAGCGACGCCGCGUGAGCGAUGAAGUAUUUCGGUAUGUAAAGCUCUAUCAGCAGGGAAGAAAAUGACGGUACCUGACUAAGAAGCACCGGCUAAAUACGUGCCAGCAGCCGCGGUAAUACGUAUGGUGCAAGCGUUAUCCGGAUUUACUGGGUGUAAAGGGAGCGUAGACGGAGUGGCAAGUCUGAUGUGAAAACCCGGGGCUCAACCCCGGGACUGCAUUGGAAACUGUCAGACUGGAGUGCAGGAGAGGUAAGCGGAAUUCCUAGUGUAGCGGUGAAAUGCGUAGAUAUUAGGAGGAACAUCAGUGGCGAAGGCGGCUUACUGGACGAUAACUGACGUUGAGGCUCGAAAGCGUGGGGAGCAAACAGGAUU
Molecule: ribosomal RNA, 424 nt
Filed under: uncultured Megamonas sp.
Lineage: Bacteria; Bacillati; Bacillota; Negativicutes; Selenomonadales; Selenomonadaceae
Description: bacterial SSU rRNA
Rfam family: Bacterial small subunit ribosomal RNA
Source: RNAcentral